AUUGAACGCUGGCGGCAGGCCUAACACAUGCAAGUCGGACGGUAGCACAGAGGAGCUUGCUCCUCGGGUGACGAGUGGCGGACGGGUGAGUAAUGUCUGGGGAUCUGCCCGAUAGAGGGGGAUAACCACUGGAAACGGUGGCUAAUACCGCAUAACGUCGCAAGACCAAAGAGGGGGACCUUCGGGCCUCCCACUAUCGGAUGAACCCAGAUGGGAUUAGCUAGUAGGCGGGGUAAUGGCCCACCUAGGCGACGAUCCCUAGCUGGUCUGAGAGGAUGACCUGCCACACUGGAACUGAGACACGGUCCAGACUCCUACGGGAGGCAGCAGUGGGGAAUAUUGCACAAUGGGCGCAAGCCUGAUGCAGCCAUGCCGCGUGUAUGAAGAAGGCCUUCGGGUUGUAAAGUACUUUCAGCGGGGAGGAAGGCGAUGUGGUUAAUAACCUUGUCGAUUGACGUUACCCGCAGAAGAAGCACCGGCUAACUCCGUGCCAGCAGCCGCCGCCG
This 506-nucleotide ribosomal RNA is filed under the name uncultured bacterium. RNAcentral's name for it is "partial 16S ribosomal RNA". It matches the Rfam family "Bacterial small subunit ribosomal RNA", at positions 29 to 523 of the family's 1533-position model. The record is from RNAcentral.